UCCACCCUGCGUGACUGGCGAGUUCAGUGGGUUCACCACGAGGAAACGCGGGGUAUAUCUGGCGCAAUGCACAGUGCGCCUGCCGAUCGCCUGGGCAGCGAAU
This 103-nucleotide non-coding RNA is filed under the name Ralstonia sp. RNAcentral's name for it is "ZTP sequence". It matches the Rfam family "ZMP/ZTP riboswitch aptamer (pfl RNA motif)". From Rfam's summary of the family: Previously known as pfl RNA. ZMP is also known as AICAR. Lineage: Bacteria; Pseudomonadati; Pseudomonadota; Betaproteobacteria; Burkholderiales; Burkholderiaceae. The record is from RNAcentral.